GUGGGAUUUGCUCCCCUGUUGACACUGGAGCAAGCUGAGCCUCCAGGAAGCCCUCCCUGGCCCCACCGUUUGUCUGGUCCCCCUCGAUGAGCUGCUUCAAGCUUCUUGGCCUGUGGAGUGGGGGUGACUCACUGUCAGUUUGGCCCUCGGCCGAGAGGCGUGGGCGUGAGAGUCCCUUGUUUCCUGUAAACUGGAGGGAGGCCAAUACCCAGCGGCUACUGUGUUGGGGCCACUCGGAAAGCCAGGUUCAAACCUUGGCCCCACUUGGUCCCCUGGGCAUCGGCUGAACUCCCUGUGCCUCCGUUUCCCCCUCUGCUUCAUGGGGUUCCGCUGGGGCUUGGGCUCAGAGCUAGGCAGGGAGUGAGCUUUCAGGAAAUGGCCCCUGUCAGAGAGAGACCGUAUUUGAUAAAAGGGUCUUUGCAG
This 423-nucleotide long non-coding RNA is filed under the name Homo sapiens (human). Its description in RNAcentral is "HSALNT0196489". Lineage: Eukaryota; Metazoa; Chordata; Mammalia; Primates; Hominidae. The record is from RNAcentral.